RNAcentral lists this long non-coding RNA (900 nucleotides) under Homo sapiens (human). RNAcentral's name for it is "HSALNT0345899". The record is from RNAcentral. Lineage: Eukaryota; Metazoa; Chordata; Mammalia; Primates; Hominidae.
GGGUUCCCACUCUGACAGCUCUCCCCACAAACCAAGGAGCUGCCAUUUUAAACUUAAGUUUUGAAAACUUCAAGAGUUUCUUUACAAAAAUGUCCACCAUUGUUAGACAGACUGGUUAAUACCUUUGCAGGAGUUAGAUUCUAUUAUAUUUAUUUACUCACUAGGAGAGCAUUUAGUGAGUUUACAAUGUGGCGAAAGAGGAGUGGUUCUCAAACCCUAAUCUGCAACAAGAAACAGCCGGGAGCUUGCUUAUACUAAAGCUUCUGAGCUGCCACUCCCAGAGUCCAGCUUAGAGUGCCAUAGGGCCAGGAAUGUGCAUUUGCACAGCUCUCUGGGGAUGCUGAUACAGGGGACCAAAGACUAUCUACUGAGGCCCAGUGUAACUUUACUGUGAGACAACUAAGUCACCUUCCCACCCGGAGAUGCCUCCUGAGCUGACCACAGGGCGGCCACACCUGGCAUCUGGAAGAGGCUCUGGGAGGGUCCAAACAACAAACCACGCGGCGUUCUCUGGUGGCUGUGCUGGGACGAGUGGGCGGAAACAGCCGCAGCUGACAACUGUCAAGAACUGUCCCCUGCCAUUUCACCUGAGCUGACCUGAUCUCCCCAGGGGAAUGAGCCUCGUCUUGCAAGUCCCCUUCUUUGGGUCCCUGGCAGCGCUGCUGCAGGAUACAAGGAACAGGAUGCUAUGACGAGAUAUGCAUUGAGAAGCUUCAGUCCUGCCUCCAUCCUUAUCUUCUUCUCCCUGGACCAAAAGUGAUAAUUGUCAUUUGAUCCUUAUUUAUUUUUAGAAAUAAAACUCUUAUGCAGAUACCAACACAUACAAAUCUGUAUUCUUAUACCCUCUAUUUCUUACACACAAGGUAGCAUAUUAUAUUCACUGCUUGACAUGUUACUAUA